Molecule: ribosomal RNA, 422 nt
Filed under: uncultured archaeon
Lineage: Archaea
Description: partial 16S ribosomal RNA
Rfam family: Archaeal small subunit ribosomal RNA
Source: RNAcentral
CUACGGGCGGCUGCAGGCGCGAAAACUUCGCAAUGCGGGCAACCGCGACGAGGGAAUCCCGAGUGCCUAUGCAAUUGUAUAGGCUGUUUAUAUGUCUAAAAAACAUGUAGAGUAAGAGCUGGGUAAGACCGGUGCCAGCCGCCGCGGUAAUACCGGCAGCUCUAGUGGUGGUCGUUAUUAUUGGGCCUAAAGCGUCCGUAGCCGGUUGGGUAAAUCCCUGGGUAAAUCGUGCAGCUUAACUGUACGACUUCCGGGGACACUGCUCGACUUGGGACCGGGAGAGGUUGGAGGUACUCCAGGGGUAGGGGUGAAAUCCUGUAAUCCUUGGGGGACCACCUGUGGCGAAGGCGUCCAACUAGAACGGCUCCGACGGUAAGGGACGAAGCCCUGGGUCGCGAACCGGAUUAGAUACCCCGGUAGUC